Molecule: long non-coding RNA, 209 nt
Filed under: Hordeum vulgare
Lineage: Eukaryota; Viridiplantae; Streptophyta; Magnoliopsida; Poales; Poaceae
Description: long non-coding RNA (HVUL_LNC011737)
Source: RNAcentral
CUUCUUCUUCUUCUCCUCCUCUUCUUCUUCUUCUUCUUCUUCUUCUUCUUCGUUCCUUCUUCUUCUUAUUCUUCUUCUUCUUCUUCUUCCUCCUCCUCCUUCUUCUUCUUCUUCUUCUUCUUCUUCUUCCUUCUUCUUCUUCUUCUUCUUCUUCUUCUUCUUCUUCUUCCUUCUUUUCCUUUUUCCUCUUCCUUCUUCUUCUCUUCUCC